CUCUGCGCAAGGGAUCUUUUGGUUCGCUAGACGAAGAAGGGCGCAGCGGAAUGCGAAAUGUGCAGGAGCAGCAGCGAAGAUAGCACAUGCCUGAAAUCACGAGAGUGAGACUACCCCUUUGAAUUAAGCAUAUGAGUAAAGGGAGGAAAAGAAACUAACAAGGAUUCCUGUAGUAGCGGCGAGCGAAGAAGGAACAGCCCCGAGUGUAAUCACCUAUAAUUAAUAUAGAGUGAGAUGUCAUAAAUCUAUAGAACGAUGUUGAA
RNAcentral lists this ribosomal RNA (263 nucleotides) under Loma morhua. Its description in RNAcentral is "partial large subunit ribosomal RNA". The stretch from base 92 to 263 matches the Rfam family "Eukaryotic large subunit ribosomal RNA", at positions 1 to 171 of the family's 3401-position model. Lineage: Eukaryota; Fungi; Microsporidia; Glugeidae. The record is from RNAcentral.